RNAcentral lists this non-coding RNA (190 nucleotides) under Litchfieldia luteola. RNAcentral's name for it is "6S RNA". It matches the Rfam family "6S / SsrS RNA". From Rfam's summary of the family: E. coli 6S RNA was the first non coding RNA to be sequenced, but its function was unknown until recently. It consists of 184 nucleotides that fold into an extended hairpin structure with a large single-stranded internal bulge. RNAcentral also lists the same sequence under 1 other name. Lineage: Bacteria; Bacillati; Bacillota; Bacilli; Caryophanales; Bacillaceae. The record is from RNAcentral.
UACAAGCUGCGUUGUACGUAAUUUUAAUUAAGUUUUAACCUUUAAGCUGUAAUAGGGAGUUUAACAUCGAGCUGGAAUGUCAUGCCUCAUCAUGUGCUGGAGGAAGACAGGAAGGUUUCUGCAAACACCCACUUUGAGAAGUGGUGGUUUAAAACUUUCUUAUGCGGAUUACGGCAAAUGUGGCUUUCUA